CACGCCCCCUUUUCCGGCAGAGCCACGCCCCCUAGUUUAAGCCACGCCCACGUUUCGAAAAGCCACGCCCCCAAAGCUCAAAUCCACGCUUCCUUGAGCUGCAGAAAGUGAAUCGGGAGGAGCGGAAGUGAAGGACCGGAAGAGGCUCUGCCCCAUGGCUGCGCCCCCCCCGUCCCCAUUUGUGUCCUCGUUGGAUUUCUGCCCCGACUGCGGCUCUGUGCUGCCCCACAUCGGCCCCACACAAACGGCCCCGCAGUGCCGGCAGUGCGCCUUCACCCCACACAGCAGCGGUAAGGGGGGC
This 301-nucleotide long non-coding RNA is filed under the name Gallus gallus (chicken). Lineage: Eukaryota; Metazoa; Chordata; Aves; Galliformes; Phasianidae. The record is from RNAcentral.